UAAUCAAUAAAGUGGCCGUAUGCAUCUUCCAGAUGCAGAGGCUGGGGGUCAUCCUCCUUUUCUAAAAAAUAAAAUCUUGGGCCAAAACACGUUCAAAAGGCCCAAACUCCUUUAUCUGUAGUAUAAAAAUAAAGGUAAAAUAAACGCGAUCUCUCCCCAACCUCUAUCUUCCUCAUGUAUGCAGCCGCCGCCGGCUUCUAUCAAAGUUGGCUAUAGGGCGCCAGCUGCUACCAGGCCUUAAAGCUUAAUCAAGUGGAUGCUCAAUCAGGAGGUUCUACACGUGUAUGUUCAAGUCGAGCUCUGCACAUAAUCGCAUCCGAAGGAUUCAUCGCCGUUCAAAGGAUGAAGCUCAAGACCAGUAUGAUCAAGAAUUUGUUGCCAUCGAUUAUGUCUCAUGUGCAUGUGCUAGCUGCUUGAAGAAAUUCAUCUAUGUCCUGAACGGCAUAUACUGUACUGACACACCUAUCGAGAAUCAAUCAACCCGCUUGGGAAAUCAGCUUGGCUAUGUGUAAAUAACGUGCAUGUGUGUUGGCGCCAUAUUUUCCCUGUGGAUACUAAGAUGCAUGGCACCACUGUUGAGAUCAACGAUGACAUCGUCUAUGUCUAUCAAUGUGAUUGGCAAUCACCAGAGGUACUCACCCCCAAUAGAUGAACUGUUCCGUCCCUGUAGCUAUGUCUGAAUGAAACGGAUCAUGUAUAGCAUGCAUCACUUUUGUUUCUGUUGGUGUACUAUAUAUCAAAACGGUCGACGACAUGUUUGUGUCUGCGAUGUGCCAUCACAGCACAAUCCAGUACAUAGUUGUUGUAGUGGUAAGACAGAGUCAAGAUAGAGCGACCCUGAUGCAUCGUGCAGUGUGGCACGAUAAGAGUGGUUUGCUGGGUCGACGUGAGUGCCAACGCUGUACCACUAUGAAGGAGUUCGGCAAUGUUUAUGCUCAAAAAAUGUCUCAUUUGGUUAUGAACUAAUCCACGUGGCAAUGGCUAUGACUGAAUCUAAUAACUAUUUUUGAAGCAAUCAGAUAUGACUUUCACGUGUGUGUAGUUCUGGUGAGAUAAUCAAUAAUCAACGUGUGUGUACAAGUAAACAUGAAUUUGUUCAUUUGGGUGCCUGAUUACAAUUUUGUAUGGUCUAGAAACAAAAAACAUGUUAAUCUCAAAGCAUGAUCUAAUAGUACAUAGUGGGGACAGGUUACGAAAAUCCGCACUCUUAAUUAUUCAGA
This is a long non-coding RNA of Triticum aestivum (bread wheat), 1220 nucleotides long. RefSeq lists it as uncharacterized. Lineage: Eukaryota; Viridiplantae; Streptophyta; Magnoliopsida; Poales; Poaceae. The record is from RefSeq and is a predicted model, not a curated record. The transcript has 3 exons.